Molecule: non-coding RNA, 537 nt
Organism: Nomascus leucogenys (northern white-cheeked gibbon)
Lineage: Eukaryota; Metazoa; Chordata; Mammalia; Primates; Hylobatidae
Source: the annotation of a RefSeq genome assembly
CAGAAGGCAGGACUCAGGACAAUCUUCAUCAUGAUCUGCUCCCCUCUCCUCCUCGCCCUUCUCAUUCACUGCACAGGGUCCUGGGCCCAGUCUGCGCUGACGCAGCCGCCCUCAGUGUCUGCGGCCCCAGGACAGAAGGUCACCAUCUCUUGCUCCGGAAGCAGAUCCGAUAUCGGGAAUUAUGCAGUAUCAUGGUACCAGCAGCUCCCAGGAACAGCCCCCAAACUCCUCAUCUAUGAAAAUAAUAAGCGACCCUCAGGGAUUUCUGACCGAUUCUCUGGCUCCAAGUCUGGCACGUCAGCCUCCCUGGGCGUCACUGGACUCCAGACUGGGGAUGAGGCCAAUUAUUACUGCUUAGCCUGGGAUAGCAGCCUGAGUGCUUGCACAGUGCUCCAGGCCGAUGGGGAACUGAGACAAGAACCCUCUUCCUCCUCCGCCAGGAGGGUGAGCGCCGGCAGCUGCUGCUCAUGCCUGACCUGUAGCUUCUGCUGCUGCAGCUUCCCCCAUGGGCCUCGGGGCAGCCAGGCCCCUGCCUAG